RNAcentral lists this ribosomal RNA (490 nucleotides) under uncultured bacterium. Its description in RNAcentral is "bacterial SSU rRNA". It matches the Rfam family "Bacterial small subunit ribosomal RNA", at positions 791 to 1275 of the family's 1533-position model. The record is from RNAcentral.
UAGUCCACGCCGUAAACGAUGUGCACUAGAUCGGUGCGAGUCUGACCUCGUGCCGAUCGGAGAGAAAUUAUUAAGUGCACCGCCUGGGGAGUACGGUCGCAAGGCUAAAACUCAAAGGAAUUGACGGGGGCUCACACAAGCGGUGGAGCAUGUUGCUUAAUUCGAAGCAACGCGUGGAACCUUACCAGGGUUUGACAUGCACGGAUUAACUCUAUGAAAGUAGAGCCACGCCCUUGGGUGGAACGUGCACAGGUGCUGCAUGGCUGUCGUCAGCUCGUGCUGUGAAGUGUCGGGUUAAGUCCCUUAACGAGCGCAACCCUUAUCGCUAGUUGCCAGCGCGUAAUGGCGGGGACUCUAGCGAGACUGCCGGUGUCAAACCGGAGGAAGGUGGGGAUGACGUCAAGUCCGCAUGGCCCUUAUGUCCUGGGAUGCAAACGUGCUACAAUGGCGUGUACAGAGCGAUGCAAGACCGCGAGGUGGAGCAAAUCGA